GAUGAACGCUAGCGACAGGCUUAACACAUGCAAGUCGAGGGGCAGCAUGGGCGUGGCAACACGCCUGAUGGCGACCGGCGCACUGGUGAGUAACACGUAUGCGACCUGCCUCCUUCAGGGGGAUAACCCAGAGAAAUUUGGCCUAAUACCCCAUAGUCCGCGCGGCUGCAUGGCCGUGCGGGGAAAGCUGCGGCGGAAGGAGAUGGGCAUGCGGCGCAUUAGCUUGUUGGCGGGGCAACGGCCCACCAAGCCAUCGAUGCCUAGGGGAGCUGAGAGGCUAAUCCCCCACACUGGUACUGAGACACGGACCAGACUCC
RNAcentral lists this ribosomal RNA (317 nucleotides) under uncultured Bacteroidales bacterium. RNAcentral describes it as "bacterial SSU rRNA". It matches the Rfam family "Bacterial small subunit ribosomal RNA", at positions 28 to 339 of the family's 1533-position model. Lineage: Bacteria; Pseudomonadati; Bacteroidota; Bacteroidia; Bacteroidales. The record is from RNAcentral.